UGGGGAAUAUUGGACAAUGGGCGCAAGCCUGAUCCAGCCAUGCCGCGUGAGUGAUGAAGGCCUUAGGGUUGUAAAGCUCUUUUUGCCGGGGACGAUAAUGACGGUACCCGGAGAAUAAGUCCCGGCUAACUUCGUGCCAGCAGCCGCGGUAAUACGAAGGGGACUAGCGUUGUUCGGAAUCACUGGGCGUAAAGCGCACGUAGGCGGAUUUGUAAGUCAGGGGUGAAAUCCCGGGGCUCAACCUCGGAACUGCCUUCAAAACUGGCGACCUGGACUCAAGCAGAGGCAAGUGGAAUUGCGAGUGUAGAGGUGAAAUUCGUAGAUAUUCGCAGGAACACCAGUGGCGAAGGCGACUUGCUGGGCUGACACUGACGCUGAGGCGCGAAAGCCAGGGGAGCAAACGGGAUUAGAUACCCGCGUAGUCCCUGAGCGGGCUGGCAAGGCGCAU
Molecule: ribosomal RNA, 448 nt
Filed under: uncultured bacterium
Lineage: Bacteria
Description: bacterial SSU rRNA
Rfam family: Bacterial small subunit ribosomal RNA
Source: RNAcentral